Monodelphis domestica (gray short-tailed opossum) is the source of this 488-nucleotide non-coding RNA. The record is from RefSeq and is a predicted model, not a curated record. NCBI's taxonomy places the organism in Eukaryota, Metazoa, Chordata, Mammalia, Didelphimorphia, Didelphidae.
GUAGUAGGGAGGAAUCCCUGAGGCAAGUUUGGGGAUGCAGUUCCCCAGGCCACAAUACCUCAUACACUUCAUAUCUGUAUUACCCUGUUCAAGUCACUUAAAACUGAUUGCCUAACCUCUGCUCUUCUGUCUUGAAUUGAUACUAAGACAUAAGGAGACUGCUGCUGGAGAGGCAAUCAUCAAAGGAGAGAAAGGAGGGACCAGACCAAGAAGGAAUUCAGCUGCUGUUCAUGAUGUAAGAAAGAAGUCAUGUAGACCUUUUUUUUAGCUAUGUGCAUUUGAAAAGAAAAGACCAGACCUGAACAGAAAAUUUGAUGCCCAAGCACAGAACUCAAGAGAAUCAUCAAAAGGUAAUUAAAAAGGAGGGAAAAUAGAAAAACAAAACAAACAAACAAAAAAUUUUUAAGAGACUCAAUAACUUAAAAUGUUAUAUAUCCCUAUAAGAAAAGAGGUCAUUGGUAACUCUUAAAAAUUGUUAUCAUCACCUG